RNAcentral lists this ribosomal RNA (390 nucleotides) under uncultured bacterium. Its description in RNAcentral is "bacterial SSU rRNA". It matches the Rfam family "Bacterial small subunit ribosomal RNA", at positions 29 to 420 of the family's 1533-position model. The record is from RNAcentral.
AUUGAACGCUGGCGGAAUGCUUUACACAUGCAAGUCGAACGGCAGCACGGGGCAACCUGGUGGCGAGUGGCGAACGGGUGAGUAAUACAUCGGAACGUGCCCAAUCGUGGGGGAUAACGUAGCGAAAGUUACGCUAAUACCGCAUACGAUCUACGGAUGAAAGCGGGGGAUCGCAAGACCUCGCGCGAAUGGAGCGGCCGAUGUCAGAUUAGGUAGUUGGUGGGGUAAAGGCUCACCAAGCCAACGAUCUGUAGCUGGUCUGAGAGGACGACCAGCCACACUGGAACUGAGACACGGUCCAGACUCCUACGGGAGGCAGCAGUGGGGAAUUUUGGGACAAAUGGGCGCAAGCCUGAUCCAGCCAUGCCGCGUGAGUGAAGAAGGCCUCGG